This 235-nucleotide ribosomal RNA is filed under the name uncultured bacterium. RNAcentral describes it as "partial 16S ribosomal RNA". It matches the Rfam family "Bacterial small subunit ribosomal RNA", at positions 118 to 347 of the family's 1533-position model. The record is from RNAcentral.
UGAGCAAUCUGCCCUUCUCUUUGGAAUAAGCGUUGGAAACGACGUCUAAUGCCGAAUACGACCUCCUUUCGCAUGAUCGGAGGUGGAAAGCUCCGGCGGAGAAGGAUGAGCUCGCGGCCUAUCAGCUAGCUGGUGUGGGUAAUGGCCCACCAAGGCGACGACGGGUAGCCGGCCUGAGAGGGUGACCGGCCACACGUGGGACUGAGACACGGCCCAGACCUCCGUACGGGAGCAG